RNAcentral lists this ribosomal RNA (255 nucleotides) under uncultured bacterium. RNAcentral's name for it is "partial 16S ribosomal RNA". It matches the Rfam family "Bacterial small subunit ribosomal RNA", at positions 524 to 777 of the family's 1533-position model. The record is from RNAcentral.
UACGAAGGGGGCUAGCGUUGUUCGGAAUCACUGGGCGUAAAGGGCGCGUAGGCGGCUUUAUAAGUCGGGGGUGAAAGCCUGUGGCUCAACCACAGAAUUGCCUUCGAUACUGUAGAGCUUGAGACCGGAAGAGGUAAGUGGAACUGCGAGUGUAGAGGUGAAAUUCGUAGAUAUUCGCAAGAACACCAGUGGCGAAGGCGGCUUACUGGUCCGGUUCUGACGCUGAGGCGCGAAAAGCGUGGGGAGCAAACAGGG